Molecule: long non-coding RNA, 1164 nt
Filed under: Brassica rapa (field mustard)
Lineage: Eukaryota; Viridiplantae; Streptophyta; Magnoliopsida; Brassicales; Brassicaceae
Description: long non-coding RNA (BRAP_LNC007207)
Source: RNAcentral
GAAAUUUUGCCGCCUCUUGUCUCUUUGGAUUCUGUAAUUUUUUGGGUUUACCCUGUUUUUUUCUACCUUGUUUUUAUUUGUUUUUUCUUCGGUAGAGUAGCUUUAGAUUCUACAUUGUAAAAUCUGAACAUCAUUAAUAUGAUAUUAACAUUCUUAGCAAAAAAAAAAGAAGAUAGUUUGAAGAUGGGGUUUUGCCUGUACAUUUAGGUAUUUGCAAAGCCACAGAGGAUAAAUUAUUAGUAGUUUGGCUACAUUUACGUAUAAGUUACUUUUUUGGUUUAGCUGCGAUUUGGUUCACUAUUUGUCUUUGUCGACUGAAACUUCUAAAGGCUAUUGUCCAUACAAUCACUAAUAAUACACUGAAACUGAAUAAUAAAAUUUUAUUAAAAAUAUAAACAAAAUAGAAACUAAUCAAUGUUUUGAGUAUUAAAUCUAACCACAACAAUAAAAACUAGAAUAAUACUUACUAUGUACAAAAAAAAUUGAACAAACAUUUAGUAAAUGUAUACCAUUUCAAUCAUUAAAAUCAUAUCAUGCUAAUACAACUUUAUAAUCUCUAACAAGAAUAAUAAAAAAUAAAGAAAAAGUUAGAUAUCUUCGCAAGAUGAUGUAAAAUGUGUUCUCAUUAUAAAAAAUAUAACAAAAAAAAGAUAAAUAACUAAAAUAGUAUUAUGUAAUUAAAAUAUAUUUGACUACAGAUAAAAGUGCAAAAACAAGUGAAAAAAUAAGCAAACAUUAAACAUUAACUAAAAUAUAUAAUAUCAUUCAUCACUUAAAAUUUCCUAUUCGCCUAAAACACUAAAACACAAACCACCAAAACAAACAAUAAAGACUAUUAUACAGUCUUUUGCAAAUACAAACCUAAAACACCAACCACCAAAUCAAACAAAAAAUAAAAACCGAAAUCACAAGUAAAGUAUACCCCGCCCGCAGGGCGGGCCUAUCCUAGUAAAUUAAAAAAAAAGAAUCUGAUGAUAAAGUGACCCCUCUAGACUAUCAUGAUCGAUCUUUGAUCAAGAGGUGUCCUUAAUUUGUUUUAUGCUUCUCAUUAUAUCAAUAGAUAAGCUAGUUUUAACCAGUUUCUUUCAUGUAUAUGUGCAAAGUUUAAGGAUAUGGAUUUUUUCGAACAGUUCUCACAAAUUCCUAUGGCACCUACACGUUCCC